GCCUGCUUGCCGUAGGUGCAGGGUGUCCCAAGAUAGGGGUUGCCCGAUAUGGGGCGUGCGAACAGUCCAGAGAAGCUGGCAGGGAAGAGGCGACUCAGCGCUUUUCUCUUCCGUAAUCCUUUCCCCGGGACCACAAAUCCCAGAAGUCACUGCGGCCGCCCCCACCCCAUUAUUACCCUCCAAGGCUGGUAGUCCGGGCCUCCCGGGCAAGGAGCGCCCUCUAGCGGCAGACGAGAGCGUCGGCGCGUGGGCGCCCACAACUCGGCAGCGCGGAAAGCUACGGCUGCGCCGGCUGAGUGCGCGCGGAGAGGACAGCCCUGGCGGUACCACGAGGUCCAUCCAGUCAGCAGGUCUUGGAGUUAAGUCAACAGGAGAAGAGUCAAGUGACGUUACAGAUGAGAUAUACGUCUGAUUUCUUUCUUCCUUCGCCCUCCAUCUCAGAGAAGUGUGCUGUCUAGCCGUUAGAAGACCAAAAGAGAAAUUUCCAUAAGGGAAAAAAAGGAAAGAAAAAUGAUGGUAGAAGAAACAAAGUUUGCAGUUUUUUAAAAAAUCUUCAUCAGAAAUGACCUGCCCAAAUUUGAGAAGGAGAUUUGUCAUCAUCACUUUUGCCUUAUUUAAACUAUUCCGUGGAACCAUAUGCAACUGGUAAAAUUGAUGGACUUUUUUACCUACAAAACAGUAAUUUCAUAUGUAAUUCAAUGUAUACUACUACAAAAACAAACAUGUCAUUCAUUGAAUCAAAAUUUUCUCAUUCCCUGAGAUGAACAAAAGGGAAAAAUAUGAUAAUUUAUAAGAUCAGAACUCAAAUAGCAACACAGAAAUUUACUAUGAAAAAAUAUUAGUCCCCAUGAGAAUAUGUAAAAGUCAAACAUGAAGCAUACUAUAGAAAAUCUUAAAGAAUCACUACCAAAUCUAAUACCCAACCAGGGUCCUUUUUAUUAGCUCUUUUUUUAAAUUAAAAAGUAAUACACUGGGCUUCGCAGGUGGUGCAGUGGUUGAGAGUCCACCUGCCAAUGCAGGGGACACGGGUUCAUGCCCCGGUCCUGGAAGAUCCCACAUGCCGCGGAGCGGCUGGGCCCGUGAGCCAUGGCCGCUGAGCCUGCGCGUCCAGAGCCUGUGCUCCGCAACGGGAGAGGCCACAACAGUGAGAGGCCCGCGUACCGCAAAAAAAAAAAAAAGUAAUACACUGACAAGUUCAGGUUUCUGGUAACUGACUAUACUGCUGAACUGAAUGAAUAAGCAUUUUCAGAACUCUAAUGGAAAACUGAUGAAUUCAUAAAAGUGCUAACAAAAGAUCAAGAUAAAAAAAUAAUAAUUACAUGGGACUGAGUGAACUGAUGAGGAUGAUUAUAAUUUUUGUGACUUUCUGUUUGAAUUUAAAAAAAAGUUAAAAAAAAAAGUAACUUACUGGUGUCCUAAGAACUAGUGAGGAGUGACAAAACUGACAGAUCAAAGCACCCUUCCCCCACUUCUGACUUUAACUCCUCCACCUUAUUUUGUAAGCACCUAUUUUUCUGAUCAGAUAUUAUCCUGUUUGAAAUGCCUAGAAGAGAUUAUAUUUUCCUUACUGAACCCCAAGUAUAUUAUUACAAUACUUAGCUAAGAGUGAAUUCCCCUCUAUUUUAGUUACAGUAUACACAUUUACUUUAAUAAAAAAUAUUGUAUUCAGAAUUUCAUUAAAGCAACUUUGUAGAUGUAUGGAAUAAAAAAAAAAGUAAUAUAAUGUUCACUGCUACAAUUUCAAAACAAAUAAAGAAACAAAAGCAAAAAAGUGAAAGCCCUUCCUCCUACCAAUCUUACUUCCCUAAAGCAGCCGGGUUAGUAUGUGUUCUUAAAUAUCAAAAUAAAAUAAAUGAGUCUAUACACUAUUUUUAACAUAAAAACAGGAUUACAUUGUACAUACUGUUCUGCAAAAUUUUCUUUCACUUAUAUCACUGAUACUAUUAGAUCUGAUAAUCAAGUUGCUUUAUCACCUGAUAUCUUUGAUUGUGGCUCUCUUCAUGGGAUCCACCUGCAGCAUAUGUUUCAAAAGGCUAAUCACAGAAGGGUUUAAAUACUGAGGGGUAUAAAAGAUCCCAUCACAUAUCUUCUUAAAAAGAGUUGGCACGUGAUCAUCAUCGAAUGGAAGUGUUCCACAUAAUAAAGCAUAGAGAAUAACCCCACUGCUCCAUAUAUCUACCUCUGGACCAGCAUACAAUCUGUAACAGGAAAUAUCAAUUGGAUUAAACAAUCAUUAGUAACUUAAAGAGUAAAUCAAUUAAUCAUUUUAAAUAUAGAUACUUCAUAAAGAAUUAUUAGUCAGAAUAUGGUUUCUAUAAGUCACUGCUGUGUACUACACAUACAGAUUCUAUACUAAUUCUAUCAGUAUUAUCUUUGAAAACAAAAAUUAAGAAUUUUUUUAAGUUACAAACUAUAGCUAAAAUUCUGUCCAUACUACCUCACAAGGGUCCUCAUGAUAUCCAAUCAAUAGGGCCAAACUUUGAACAAACAUAUCAUUACUGAAUUUAAAACCAUUGUUUUUUGGUUACAGAGGAGAGAUUAAGUGAUCUUUCAUCAAGUGAGAAUGUUCUGACUCUAAAGCCACUCUCCGAAAUAACCCUCAUACCUCAUACCUCAUACCAAGGUAAAAGGGGCCUGAGGCUGUAGAAUGAAGCCCAGCUAACUAAUUCGCAGAAGAUUUGAAACUCUUAUUUGCAGUACACUGUAACCCACUGACUUAACUAGCUACUGACUAAUUAGAUAACCCAUUCAAAGUCUGGCUUCAGGGAAGGAUUUCUUUAAAUUGGUCAAAUAAAUUAUUGAACUGAUCAAUAUAUACUAUUUUGAAAGUAAAAGUUUCCAUACAUCUAGACCUCACAGAAGGACCUUAUCCAAACUGGGAAAAUUAAACUUCAGUAAUGGCCCAUUACAUAUAUGCACAAUGACAUUUCUUUUUGUUUAUUUAAUUAACACUGCCCCCAGUAUCCAGAUCCUAAAUUGUUUUCUUCCCCAAAUAGACAACCCACAUGUAAUAAUAAUUUAAACAUUAAGUUAGUAUAAAAAGGUAAUGAUGAACCUUGAUAAAUCUAAAAUUAGAUAUUUCUGCCUUACUCAUAACCAUGCCUUAACACAAAUAUAAUUUCUCUGAGCAGUCUAGGCAAGCAAGCUUAUGAAAAUAGAAAGAAAAUACUACUCUAUUUCUGCAUUCUAAAUUAAUCAGGAUGUAAGACAUUCAAACAAAGAAACAUGGUUUGAAUGAAAAGUUAUUAAAAGUUAAUUAUAAAAACUAGUAAACAAACUUUAGCUUCUUUGUUUUCACUUUCAGUAGUAUACUGAAGAACAGUUACUCUUCAAAAAAUUAAAUUUUCCUGUCAUCUAAACUAUCCGAAAAGCUGCCCUAUACUAAGAUCCUCAUGUUCUCAAUGCUGGUGGUUAGUAAAUUGAGAGAUUAGAAUUCUUAAAAUAUUUCAGUCUCUAGAAGAUUUAAAGAAUGAAAAUUAAAUAAAAUCUGAGGACUUUAUCAAUACUUCAGUCCAAUUCCCCAAGGCACGUUAUCAUAAAAGCUAAAGCUAAUUUGAAAAAUUAAAGCUACCCAUUACACUUUUAAUUCUUCAUCUAAGCAAAUAGUACACUAUUUCUUACUACUAGAUAUUUCUGUAUUAUUCAAGUUUUUAAUGUCUCACCUUUAAAACUUGCUAGUUUUAAACCUUCAGUUUCUUCCACCAGGGGAAAAAACGAGUACUCUCAUCUGACUAAUAUAAUUUUGACUUGCAAACCAACAUCCUCCUCAAUAAAUGGAGUCCUUAAUCCUUAUUCACUUAUAAUGUUUUAUUCUUAAAAUAGAAUACCUUCUGGAUAAGAAAAAAAUAAGCUUUAAAUUCCUUUCAAUAGAAUUGAAUAUUACACUAUAGACUAACAAAGUCUAGGAAAAGAAGACAAUUACAAAUAUAUUGGGCGGGGAGGAGGUGGCAAACACUACCUUCCUGAAAUUACUUCUGGUGCAGCAUAGUUGGGUGAGCCACAACUUGUUCUUAAAAAUUCACCAUCUGACAUCAUGUUUGAAAGACCUGAAAAUGCACAAAAUCCACUGCUCAAGAUUUCCCAAGAACAAAAAUAAAAACAAAACUCCAUUAAACAAUAAAAUUGAGUUUGCAUUAAAGUGAUAAAUCAUCAUUUUGUUCUUUGCUUCAACAGAAUCCUGUAGUCUUUACUGUUCCCAAAUAUUUUGCCUUUAUGCCAUAAAAUCUGCAAUCUGUUUCAACAUAUAAAGUUAGUGCAUUGUUGGAGUUUCAUGAGUACAUAUUAAGUUAUUGGUUAUUUUGUUUAAUAGAAUAAACUGGGCAUGUUUAAGUUUUAUUAAUAUAGAAAUUACUAGAAAAAAAUGUAGAACCGAAUUAAAAGUUUCUAUUAACCUCCAUUCUGAUUCUUUAAAAAAAAAUUAUAGGGCCUCCCUGGUGGCGCAGUGGUUGAGAGUCCGCCUGCCGAUGCAGGGGAC
Long non-coding RNA from Globicephala melas (long-finned pilot whale), 4474 nucleotides. RefSeq lists it as uncharacterized. The record is from RefSeq and is a predicted model, not a curated record. NCBI's taxonomy places the organism in Eukaryota, Metazoa, Chordata, Mammalia, Artiodactyla, Delphinidae.